Deltaproteobacteria bacterium is the source of this 82-nucleotide non-coding RNA. NCBI's taxonomy places the organism in Bacteria, Pseudomonadati, Myxococcota, Myxococcia. The record is from Rfam.
GCCGAAGUGGUGGAAUUGGUAGACACGCACGCUUGAGGGGCGUGUGGGGCAACUCGUGGGAGUUCAAAUCUCCCCUUCGGCA